Mesoplodon densirostris (Blainville's beaked whale) is the source of this 382-nucleotide long non-coding RNA. RefSeq lists it as uncharacterized. The transcript is spliced from 3 exons. NCBI's taxonomy places the organism in Eukaryota, Metazoa, Chordata, Mammalia, Artiodactyla, Ziphiidae. The record is from RefSeq and is a predicted model, not a curated record.
AGAAGCUUUAAAUUUUGAUGAGGUCUGAUAUCUUGCACUUUAGAACAUACAGUAUGCUUUCUAUUGCCUGUGGUGCAGAGAUUAAAAGAUUGAUAAAGUGCGGCCAGAACUGUAAAAGAGGUAUAACUGGGAAUGUGGAUUGAUUCAGAAUGGCUGAGAUGAAUUAAAAGAAGUAAAAAUACUGGAAAUGACCAACUGGAAUGAAAUUGGAGUGUGAAAAUUCCAAUUCACAGUUGCUAUAGGGGCCAUUUGACCAGAUGAGAGCAUCCAGCAAGCAUAAACUUCCAAGCAGGAGCCAGAGUAAGCAGUGGAAAAUGAAGCUGCUGUAAAAUUUUGUGGACAGCCGUUGCAAAAUGCUUUCUGAAAAUUGUACAUAGUAAAU